RNAcentral lists this unclassified non-coding RNA (287 nucleotides) under Omphalotus illudens. Its description in RNAcentral is "partial internal transcribed spacer 2". The record is from RNAcentral. Lineage: Eukaryota; Fungi; Basidiomycota; Agaricomycetes; Agaricales; Omphalotaceae.
AAUUCUCAACUUCAAAAGCUUUUGCUUCUGAAGCUUGGACUGUGGAGGCUUGCUGGGUGGGCAUCAGUAGAUGUCUUCGGCUCCUCUCAAAUGCAUUAGCGGAAACCGGAUUAGUCGGACCUAAGCCUUGGUGUGAUAAUUAUCUACGCCUUGGUGUCUGGCAAGAAAGGCUCUUUGGUUGGGAUAGCUGCAACUUAAGCUUGCUCUGUCUGCUUUCAUUUCAAGGGGUCGUUUUUUGGUAUCUGCUCUCUAACCGUCUGUUUCCACGGACAAACUAACAUUGACUU